AGGGAUGUCCAUAUUCCGGUGCCUUGGCAUCCAAUUCGAGGCCUCGAUCAAGUACCAUGUCUGGCUCGGUUCUGCAAUGAUAUUCUUCGCCACUUUACACGGUGGAGGCACCCUCUUCAUCUGGGGAAUCAAGCAUAGAAUCCAAGACGAGGUAACCAACAAUCACAAACAUUGUUCAAAGCUCAAACUCUUCAUACAUUGCAUACAACAGUUGACAGCAAUAAGUCGACGAAUUUACAGAUGUGGGAGUGGCAGAAGAAAGGUCGUAUAUACCUCGCAGGAGAGAUAGCUCUAGCAACAGCUUUUGUGAUGGCGAUCACAGCACUUCCACAGAUUAGGAGGAAAUGGUUUCAAAUUUUUU
RNAcentral lists this long non-coding RNA (361 nucleotides) under Salvia miltiorrhiza (redroot sage). Its description in RNAcentral is "long non-coding RNA (SMIL_LNC005103)". Lineage: Eukaryota; Viridiplantae; Streptophyta; Magnoliopsida; Lamiales; Lamiaceae. The record is from RNAcentral.